Myodes glareolus (Bank vole) is the source of this 2033-nucleotide non-coding RNA. The record is from RefSeq and is a predicted model, not a curated record. NCBI's taxonomy places the organism in Eukaryota, Metazoa, Chordata, Mammalia, Rodentia, Cricetidae.
GACUGUGUGCACCAUAGAGACUGUGUACACCAUAAAGACUGUCUACAUCAUAGAGACUGUGUGCACCAUAGAGACUGUCUGCAUCAUAGAGACUGUCUACAUCAUAGAGACUGUGUGCACCAUAGAGACUGUGUACACCAUAAAGACUGUCUCCAUCAUAGAGACUGUGUGCACCAUAGAGACUGUCUGCAUCAUAGAGACUGUGCAUCAUAGAGACUGUACAUCAAAGAGACUGUGUACAUCAUAUAGGCUGCUCCGGAAUACUUCAGCUUGAUUCCCUAAACAGAUGUUAGCAAGGCUUGUCCUGAGUAGUGGGCAAAAUGAAGAACUCGAAAUUGCUUUUGCAAUGAAUGACAGGUAUUUGUUCCCUGGAAGGGGUUCUAUUUCUUGACUGACCACUUAAAUUGUAAACUGAUGACAUGUGAAUUAUUGACGAUUUGUACCUUGAAGAUAAUUGAAUCUAUAAAUAUCUAAAUUGUGUGUAUUGGGAAAUGUUAACAAAAGUUAAAAGUAUCAUUUCUAAAAUAAAGUUGUAAAGACCAAUUCUAGGCAUCAGUUUAAUGUACUAACUUUGAGAUUCUAGGAUUAAAUGUGAUUUUUUUAAUGUUUAUAAUGAAGACAGGAAGGGAGUAUGCCUAACUUUGAAACUUAACAUUCAUAUUAUCUUGGUAAAUUUUUAUAAAUAUUUUCACAGAACUUAGCAUAUUAGAUUGGAGAAUAACUUUUCAAGUUGCUAGAUAUGUUUUAAAUUUUUAAAAUGAAAUUUAUUUUCAGAAUAUUUAGAAACAGUGACCCAUGAAUUUUCUAAGGUUUACUUGAAAUUGUUUGACUGUCAGGUUUGGUUAAGGCACAAUACAUAGCAUAGGAUCCACUGUCUUCUACAGAUCUGCUCUUUCUGGUUCUUAGGCUGCACCAGAUUCUAAAGUGUCUCACUUUGCUAGUAUCUUUCAUUGGAAACUACUGGAUUAUCAUCUCAAAAAUAAGUAAAAAUAAAGUACAGCAAUCAUUCAUUUGUAAACAUCUGAAAAUGUAGAUGCUUACCAUUUGGCUAUGAAGGACUGCCAAGUUCACCAAGGCAGUAGCAACACUGGGGUGCUUUGGGCCAAAGGAUUUCUGCCGAAUUUCAACAGCUAAUUCAUACAAAGCUCUCCCUUCUGGCUGCGAGACUCUGUUCCUGUUCCCCAUUCGUGCAGAGGACUGUGGUCUAGGACGAUGAUCUGAAGACCAGGAAAUGCCGCCUGAACAUAAUGCAUGGGAUAAAGGGCCCCAAAGAAAAGCCUACUGCUUCCAUGCCUUAGAAACACCCGCCCCCUCCAUGACGUCAACGCAUUUGAUGUUCAAAAUGAGAACGUGGAAUUAAAAGACAAGAAUGCUAGAUUCAGUGUCUGUAAACAAGGCUGGGCUAGAAUGAUUUCUAUUAUGACAAAUAUUAAAAAAUAGUCCUUUUACAUCUCUGGCUGAGGACUAUGCAGAGUGAGGCUGAAUAGAAGAAACCAAAGCCCAGCCAUCCAGUGCUCAUGAAAAGUGGAUUACUGCCUGGUACGGAAAACAGCUAUUUAUGGCUAGGCUUUAGAACAGACAGUGGAAGACCCCUCCUGAUAACUCCGUCCUCAACACUGAGCCAUAGUCUCCCGAAUGAGUGUGAGUGUGAGUGUCACAUCAGGAAACAGGGAGACAUCCGAGGCCAGUGAAGCUAGUUUGAGCAGCCAUCACUUUGCAGAGAAAGUGAACUGCAGCAAAAUGAACAAGAUGAACCCCAGCAGAACCAAGGGAAACACCCACUUACCACGCCAUCAUUUUGCCGAAAAGGGUGACGUAGAGGGCAUUGCAGGUCGCGGCGGAACGGCAAUGUUGGUCUAGCUGCUUCUCCUACACCAGUUUCCAAAUAAAACAAAACGGAAGUAAGAAAAGCAGGCGGGGUCAUUGCUCCUGGGCCAGCCGCAGGUCCCAGUAGAAGGAAACUGUCUCUGUUCUAACCCUGAUGUCACAGGUGUAACGGAGGGAGCCUGGCUGCAGCCACACUUCCAGCUGCU